RNAcentral lists this ribosomal RNA (253 nucleotides) under uncultured bacterium. Its description in RNAcentral is "partial 16S ribosomal RNA". It matches the Rfam family "Bacterial small subunit ribosomal RNA", at positions 524 to 776 of the family's 1533-position model. The record is from RNAcentral.
UACGGGGGGGGCAAGCGUUGUUCGGAAUUACUGGGCGUAAAGGGCUCGUAGGCGGCCAGCUAAGUCGGACGUGAAAUCCCCAGGCUCAACCUGGGAACUGCGUCCGAUACUGGAUGGCUUGAAUCCGGGAGAGGGAUGCAGAAUUCCAGGUGUAGCGGUGAAAUGCGUAGAUAUCGGAAGGAACAUCAGUGGCGAAAGCGACUUCCUGGACCAAUACUGACGCUCAUGUGCGAAAGCGUGGGGAGCAAACAGG